RNAcentral lists this transfer RNA (97 nucleotides) under Actinoplanes siamensis. RNAcentral's name for it is "tRNA-Arg". The record is from RNAcentral. Lineage: Bacteria; Bacillati; Actinomycetota; Actinomycetes; Micromonosporales; Micromonosporaceae.
GGUGGACCGGGACGCGGUACGGCGCCUGGACGUACUACGACUGCGCCCCGAUCGAGGACGGCCGGCGCGGAUGGAUGUUCGAGCUGACCGUCGACCG